RNAcentral lists this ribosomal RNA (434 nucleotides) under uncultured Lachnospiraceae bacterium. Its description in RNAcentral is "bacterial SSU rRNA". It matches the Rfam family "Bacterial small subunit ribosomal RNA", at positions 341 to 792 of the family's 1533-position model. The record is from RNAcentral. Lineage: Bacteria; Bacillati; Bacillota; Clostridia; Lachnospirales; Lachnospiraceae.
ACGGGAGGCAGCAGUGGGGAAUAUUGCACAAUGGGGGAAACCCUGAUGCAGCGACGCCGCGUGAGCGAAGAAGUAUUUCGGUAUGUAAAGCUCUAUCAGCAGGGAAGAUCAUGACGGUACCUGACUAAGAAGCCCCGGCUAACUACGUGCCAGCAGCCGCGGUAAUACGUAGGGGGCAAGCGUUAUCCGGAUUUACUGGGUGUAAAGGGAGCGUAGACGGCGAAGCAAGUCUGGUGUGAAACCCCGGGGCUCAACCUCGGGCCUGCAUUGGAAACUGUUUUGCUUGAGUGCCGGAGAGGUAAGCGGAAUUCCUAGUGUAGCGGUGAAAUGCGUAGAUAUUAGGAGGAACACCAGUGGCGAAGGCGGCUUACUGGACGGCAACUGACGUUGAGGCUCGAAAGCGUGGGGAGCAAACAGGAUUAGAUACCCUGGUA